AGCAGUGUGGUGUAGUGCGCACACGGGGUCUCCCUAAGGAUGACUCGAAAUCGGAUGUCCCCCCGAGGUCCUUGUUCGAGUCAAGGUGCUGCUG
This is a non-coding RNA of Mycena epipterygia, 94 nucleotides long. Lineage: Eukaryota; Fungi; Basidiomycota; Agaricomycetes; Agaricales; Mycenaceae. The record is from the annotation of a GenBank genome assembly.